RNAcentral lists this ribosomal RNA (417 nucleotides) under Acanthamoeba sp. Its description in RNAcentral is "SSU rRNA". It matches the Rfam family "Eukaryotic small subunit ribosomal RNA", at positions 763 to 1096 of the family's 1831-position model. The record is from RNAcentral. Lineage: Eukaryota; Discosea; Longamoebia; Acanthamoebidae.
AAAUUAGAGUGUUCAAAGCAGGCAGAUUCAUUUUCUGCCACCGAAUACAUUAGCAUGGGAUAAUGGAAUAGGACCCUGUCCUCCUAUUUUCAGUUGGUUUUGGCAGCGCGAGGACUAGGGUAAUGAUUAAUAGGGAUAGUUGGGGGCAUUAAUAUUUAAUUGUCAGAGGUGAAAUUCUUGGAUUUAUGAAAGAUUAACUUCUGCGAAAGCAUCUGCCAAGGAUGUUUUCAUUAAUCAAGAACGAAAGUUAGGGGAUCGAAGACGAUCAGAUACCGUCGUAGUCUUAACCAUAAACGAUGCCGACCAGCGAUUAGGAGACGUUGAAUACAAAACACCACCAUCGGCGCGGUCGUCCUUGGCGCGUUCGUGUUCACGCACGGGCGCGCGAGGGCGGUUUAGCCCGGUGGCACCGGUGAA